GAUGAAGACGUAGCGAAAUGCGAUAAGUAAUGUGAAUUGCAGAAUUCAGUGAAUCAUCGAAUCUUUGAACGCACCUUGCGCCCUUUGGCUAUUCCGAAGGGCAUGCCUGUUUGAGUAUCAUGAACACCUCAACUCUUCACGGCUUGCCGUGAUGAGUUUGGACUUUGGGGGUCUUGCUGGCCUACGAGCCAGCUCCUCUCAAAUGUAUUAGCUUGCCGGUGUUUGGUGGCAUCACAGGUGUGAUAACUAUCUACGCUUGUGGUUUUCCACUAGGUAACCUUCAGCAAUGGAGGUUCACCGGAGCUCACAAAUGUCUCUCCUUGCCAAGGACAGAUUUUGACCAUUUGAUCUCAAAUCAGGUAGGACUACCCGCUGAACUUAAGCAUAUCAAUAAGCGGAGGA
Molecule: unclassified non-coding RNA, 402 nt
Filed under: soil metagenome
Description: partial contains 5.8S ribosomal RNA, internal transcribed spacer 2, and large subunit ribosomal RNA
Rfam family: 5.8S ribosomal RNA (bases 1-120)
Source: RNAcentral